AAAUGGCCAAAAAACGGGUGGGCUAUAGCCUUGGUGGGGGGCGCGGGCGAAGUUCGUCCGCCGGACUCGGAAUGGGGCGAGACUUUGCGAGGGGCUUCGGGGUGCCAAAAAUAAGCCGCGGGCAAAGCCGCGCCCAAAGGUCGUGGUGCCAAAACCCCCCAUCGGAAAAAUGGCCAAAAAACGGGUGGGCUAUAGCCUUGGUGGGGGGCGCGGGCGAAGUUCGUCCGCCGGACUCGGAAUGGGGCGAGACUUUACGAGGGGCCUCGGGGUGCCAGCGGGAAGUCGCGGGCACAGCCACGUCCAAAAAUAAGCGCCCGAAGGUCGUGGUGCCAAAACCCCCCAGCGGAAAAAUGGCCAAAAAACGGGUGGGCUAUAGCCUUGGUGGGAGGCGCGGGCGAAGUUCGUCCGCCGGACUCGGAAUGGGGCGAGACUUUGCGAGGGGCCUCGGGGUGCCAAAAAUAAUCCGCGCGCAAAGCCGCGCCUAAAAAUAAGCACCUGAAGGUCGUGGUGCCAAAAUCCCCCAGCGGAAAAAUGGCCAAAAAAUGGGUGGGCUAUAGCCUUGGUGGUGGGCGCGGGCGAAGUUCGUCCGCCGGACUCGGAAUGGGGCGAGACUUUGCGAGGGGCCUCGGGGUGCCCGCGGGAAGUCGCGGGCACAGCCGCGUCCAAAAAUAAGCGCCCGAAGGUCGUGGUGCCAAAACCCCCCAGCGGAAAAAUGGCCAAAAAACGGGUGAGCUAUAGCCUUGGUGGGGGGCGCGGGCGAAGUUCGUCCGCCGGACUCGGAAUGGGGCGAGACUUUGCGAGGGGCCUCGAGGUGCCUGCGGGAAGUUGCGGGCACAGCCGCGUCCAAAAAUAAGCGCCCGAAGGUCGUGGUGCCAAAACCCCCCUGCGGAAAAAUGGCCAAAAAACGGGUGGGCUAUAGCCUUGGAGGGGGCCCGGGCGAAGUUCGUCCGCCGGACUCGGAAUGGGGUGAGACUUUGCGAGGGGCCUCGGGGUGCCCGCGGGAAGUCACGGGCACAGCCGCGCCCAAAAAUAAGCGCCCGAAGGUCGUGGUGCCAAAACCCCCCAGCGGAAAAAUGGCCAAAAAAUGGGUGGGCUAUAGCCUUUGUGGGGGGCGCGGGCGAAGUUCGUCCGCCGGACUCGGAAUGGGGUGAGACUUUGCGAGGGGCCUCGGGGUGCCCGCGGGAAGUCGCGGGCACAGCCGCGUCCAGAAAUAAGCGCCCGAAGGUCGUGGUGCCAAAACCCCCCAGCGGAAAAAUGGCCAAAAAACGGGUGGGCUAUAGCCUUGGUGGGGGGCGCGGGCGAAGUUCGUCCGCCGGACUCGGAAUGGGGCGAGACUUUGCGAGGGGCCUCGAGGUGCCUGCGGAAAGUCGCGGGCACAGCCGCGUCCAAAAAUAAGCGCCCGAAGGUCGUGGUGCCAAAACCCCCCAGCGGAAAAAUGGCCAAAAAACGGGUGGGCUAUAGCCUUGGAGGGGGCCCGGGCGAAGUUCGUCCGCCGGACUCGGAAUGGGGCGAGACUUUGCGAGGGGCCUCGGGGUGCCAGCGGGAAGUCGCGGGCACAGCCGCGUCCAAAAAUAAGCGCCCGAAGGUCGUGGUGCCAAAACCCCCCAGCGGAAAAAUGGCCAAAAAACGGGUGGGCUAUAGCCUUGGUGGGGGGCGCGGGCGAAGAUCAUCCGCCGGACUCGGAAUGGGGCGAGACUUUGCGCGGGGCCUCGGGGCGCCAAAAAUAAGCCGCAGGCAAAGCCGCGCCCAAAAAUAAGCGCCCGAAGGUCGUGGUGCCAAAACCCCCCAGCGGAAAAAUGGCCAAAAAACGGGUGGGCUAUAGCCUUGGUGGGGGGCGCGGGCGAAGUUCGUCCGCCGGACUCGGAAUGGGGCGAGACUUUGCGAGGGGCCUCGGGGUGCCAGCGGGAAGUCGCGGGCACAGCCGCGUCCAAAAAUAAGCGCCCGAAGGUCGUGGUGCCAAAACCCCCCAGCGGAAAAAUGGCCAAAAAAGGGUGGGCUAUAGCCUUGGUGGGGGGCGCGGGCGAAGUUCGUCCGCCGGACUCGGAAUGGGGCGAGACUUUGCGAGGGGCCUCGGGGUGCCAGCGGGAAGUCACGGGCACAGCCGCGUCCAAAAAUAAGCGCCCGAAGGUCGUGGUGCCAAAACCCCCCAGCGGAAAAAUGGCCAAAAAACGGGUGGGCUAUAGCCUUGGUGGGGGGCGCGGGCGAAGUUCGUCCGCCGGACUCGGAAUGGGGCGAGACUUUGCGAGGGGCCUCGGGGUGCCAGCGGGAAGUCGCGGGCACAGCCGCGUCCAAAAAUAAGCGCCCGAAGGUCGUGGUGCCAAAACCCCCCAGCGGAAAAAUGGCCAAAAAACGGGUGGGCUAUAGCCUUGGUGGGGGGCGCGGGCGAAGUUCGUCCGCCGGACUCGGAAUGGGGCGAGACUUUGCGAGGGGCCUCGGGGUGCCAGCGGGAAGUCGCGGGCACAGCCGCGUCCAAAAAUAAGCGCCCGAAGGUCGUGGUGCCAAAACCCCCCAGCGGAAAAAUGGCCAAAAAAGGGUGGGCUAUAGCCUUGGUGGGGGGCGCGGGCGAAGUUCGUCCGCCGGACUCGGAAUGGGGUGAGACUUUGCGAGGGGCCUCGGGGUGCCAGCGGGAAGUCACGGGCACAGCCGCGUCCAAAAAUAAGCGCCCGAAGGUCGUGGUGCCAAAACCCCCCAGCGGAAAAAUGGCCAAAAAACGGGUGGGCUAUAGCCUUGGUGGGGGGCGCGGGCGAAGUUCGUCCGCCGGACUCGGAAUGGGGCGAGACUUUGCAAGGGGCCUCGGGGCACCAAAAAUAAGCCGCGGGCAAAGCCUCGCCCAAAAAUAAGCGCCCGAAGGUCGUGGUGCCAAAACCCCCCAGCGGAAAAAUGGCCAAAAAACGGGUGGGCUAUAGCCUUGGUGGGGGGCGCGGGCGAAGUUCGUCCGCCGGACUCGGAAUGGGGCGAGACUUUGCGAGGGGCCUCGGGGUGCCAAAAAUAAGCCACGGGCAAAGCCGCGCCCAAAAAUAAGCACCUGAAGGUCGUGGUGCCAAAAUCCCCCAGCGGAAAAAUGGCCAAAAAACGGGUGGGCUAUAGCCUUGGUGGUGGGCGCGGGCGAAGUUCGUCCGCCGGACUCGGAAUGGGGCGAGACUUUGCGAGGGGCAUCGGGGUGCCCGCGGGAAGUUGCGGGCACAGCCGCGUCCAAAAAUAAGCGCCCAAAGGUCGUGGUGCCAAAACCCCCCAGCGGAAAAAUGGCCAAAAAACGGGUGGGCUAUAGCCUUGGUGGGGGGCGCGGGCGAAGUUCGUCCGCCGGACUCGGAAUGGGGCGAGACUUUACGAGGGGCCUCGAGGCGCCUGCGGGAAGUCGCGGGCACAGCCGCAUCCAAAAAUAAGCGCCCGAAGGUCGUGGUGCCAAAACCCCCCAGCGGAAAAAUGGCCAAAAAACGGGUGGGCUAUAGCCUUGGAGGGGGCCCGGGCGAAGUUCGUCCGCCGGACUCGGAAUGGGGCGAGACUUUGCGAGGGGCCUCGGGGUGCCCGCGGGAAGUCGCGGGCACAGCCGCGCCCAAAAAUAAGCGCCCGAAGGUCGUGGUGCCAAAACCCCCCAGCGGAAAAAUGGCCAAAAAAUGGGUGGGCUAUAGCCUUGGUGGGGGGCGCUGGCGAAGUUCGUCCGCCGGACUCGGAAUGGGGCGAGACUUUGCGAGGGGCCUCGGGGUGCCCGCGGGAAGUCGCGGGCACAGCCGCGUCCAGAAAUAAGCGCCCGAAGGUCGUGGUGCCAAAACCCCCCAGCGGAAAAAUGGCCAAAAAACGGGUGGGCUAUAGCCUUGGUGGGGGGCGCGGGCGAAGUUCGUCCGCCGGACUCGGAAUGGGGCGAGACUUUGCGAGGGGCCUCGAGGUGCCUGCGGGAAGUCGCGGGCACAGCCGCGUCCAAAAAUAAGCGCCCGAAGGUCGUGCUGCCAAAACCCCCCAGCGGAAAAAUGGCCAAAAAACGGGUGGGCUAUAGCCUUGGUGGGGGGCGCGGGCGAAGUUCGUCCGCCGGACUCGGAAUGGGGCGAGACUUUGCGAGGGGCCUCGAGGUGCCUGCGGGAAGUCGCGGGCACAGCCGCGUCCAAAAAUAAGCGCCCGAAGGUCGUGAUGCCAAAACCCCCCAGCGGAAAAAUGGCCAAAAAACGGGUGGGCUAUAGCCUUGGUGGGGGGCGCGGGCGAAGUUCGUCCGCAAGACUCGGAAUGGGGCGAGACUUUGCGAGGGGCCUCGGGGUGCCAAAAAUAAGCCGCAGGCACGGCCGCGCCCAAAAAUAAGCGCCCGAAGGUCGUGGUGCCAAAACCCCCCAGCGGAAAAAUGGCCAAAAAACGGGUGGGCUAUAGCCUUGGUGGGGGGCGCGGGCGAAGUUCGUCCGCCGGACUCGGAAUGGGGCGAGACUUUGCGAGGGGCCUCGGGGUGCCCGCGGGAAGUUGCGGGCACAGCCGCGCCCAAAAAUAAGCGCCCGAAGGUCGUGGUGCCAAAACCCCCCAGCGGAAAAAUGGCGAAAAAACGGGUGGGCUAUAGCCUUGGUGGGGGGCGCGGGCGAAGUUCGUCCGCCGGACUCGGAAUGGGGCGAGACUUUGCGCGGGGCCUCGGGGCGCCAAAAAUAAGCCGCGGAAAAAUGCGCGCCCAAAAAUAAGCGCCCGAAGGUCGUGGUGCCAAAACCCCCCAGCGGAAAAAUGGCCAAAAAACGGGUGGGCUAUAGCCUUGGUGGGGGGCGCGGGCGAAGUUCGUCCGCCGGACUCGGAAUGGGGCGAGACUUUGCGAGGGGCCUCGGGGCACCAAAAAUAAGCCGUGGGCAAAGCCGCGCCCAAAAAUAAGCGACCGAAGGUCGUGGUGCCAAAACCCCCCAGCGGAAAAAUGGCCAAAAAACGGGUGGGCUAUAGCCUUGGUGGGGGGCGCGGGCGAAGUUCGUCCGCCGGACUCGGAAUGGGGCGAGACUUUGCGAGGGGCCUCGGGGCGCCAAAAAUAAGCCGCGGGCAAAGCCGCGCCCAAAAAUAAGCGCCCGAAGGUCGUGGUGCCAAAACCCCCCAGCGGAAAAAUGGCCAAAAAACGGGUGGGCUAUAGCCUUGGUGGGGGGCGCGGGCGAAGUUCGUCCGCCGGACUCGGAAUGGAGCGAGACUUUGCAAGGGGCCUCGGGGUGCCCGCGGGAAGUCGCGGGCACAGCCGCGUCAAAAAAUAAGCGCCCGAAGGUCGUGGUGCCAAAACCCCCCAGCGGAAAAAUGGCCAAAAAAUGGGUGGGCUAUAGCCUUGGUGGGGGGCGCGGGCGAAGUUCGUCCGACGGACUCGGAAUGGGGCGAGACUUUGCGAGGGGCCUCGGGGUGCCCGCGGGAAGUCGCGGGCACAGCCGCGUCCAAAAAUAAGCGCCCGAAGGUC
Molecule: long non-coding RNA, 5386 nt
Filed under: Citrus x clementina
Lineage: Eukaryota; Viridiplantae; Streptophyta; Magnoliopsida; Sapindales; Rutaceae
Description: Citrus clementina (C. clementina) long non-coding RNA (CCLE_LNC003723)
Source: RNAcentral